RNAcentral lists this RNase P RNA (344 nucleotides) under chicken gut metagenome. RNAcentral describes it as "Bacterial RNase P class A". It matches the Rfam family "Bacterial RNase P class A". From Rfam's summary of the family: Ribonuclease P (RNase P) is a ubiquitous endoribonuclease, found in archaea, bacteria and eukarya as well as chloroplasts and mitochondria. Its best characterised activity is the generation of mature 5'-ends of tRNAs by cleaving the 5'-leader elements of precursor-tRNAs. The record is from RNAcentral.
AGUAAGCUGUGCGGUAGCGGACGCCGUUAUUCGGCGGAUGAGGAAAGUCCGAGCAUCACAGAGCGGGAUAGCUGAUAACAUCAGCCGAGGGCGACCUUAGGGAAAGUGCAACAGAAAUAAACCGCCGUCCUUAGGGGCGGUAAGGAUGGAAAGGCGAGGUAAGAGCUCACCGAGGGGCAGGAGACUGCUCCGUCAUGUAAACCCUAUCCGAUGCAACACCGUUUGGUUCGGCAUAUCAACGCCUGCUCGGCGGAUAUGCUGUUAUAGGUGGCUUGAGUCCUGCGGCGACGCAGGAAUUAGAUAGAUUACCGCACUCGACAGAACUCGGCUUACAGGCUUGGUCG